This 650-nucleotide ribosomal RNA is filed under the name Hyunsoonleella aestuarii. RNAcentral describes it as "bacterial SSU rRNA". It matches the Rfam family "Bacterial small subunit ribosomal RNA", at positions 60 to 709 of the family's 1533-position model. The record is from RNAcentral. Lineage: Bacteria; Pseudomonadati; Bacteroidota; Flavobacteriia; Flavobacteriales; Flavobacteriaceae.
AGUCGAGGGGUAACAGGGUGCUUGCACCGCUGACGACCGGCGCACGGGUGCGUAACGCGUAUGCAAUCUGCCUUACACUGGGGGAUAGCCUUUAGAAAUGAAGAUUAAUACCCCAUAGUAUUAUUAGUUCGCAUGGAUUAAUAAUUAAAGGUUACGGUGUAAGAUGAGCAUGCGUCCUAUUAGCUAGAUGGUGUGGUAACGGCACACCAUGGCAACGAUAGGUAGGGGCCCUGAGAGGGGGAUCCCCCACACUGGUACUGAGACACGGACCAGACUCCUACGGGAGGCAGCAGUGAGGAAUAUUGGACAAUGGGCGGAAGCCUGAUCCAGCCAUGCCGCGUGCAGGAAGACUGCCCUAUGGGUUGUAAACUGCUUUUAUACAGGAAGAAACCACGCUACGUGUAGCGUUCUGACGGUACUGUAAGAAUAAGGAUCGGCUAACUCCGUGCCAGCAGCCGCGGUAAUACGGAGGAUCCAAGCGUUAUCCGGAAUCAUUGGGUUUAAAGGGUCCGUAGGUGGAUAAUUAAGUCAGGGGUGAAAGUUUGCAGCUUAACUGUAAAAUUGCCUUUGAUACUGGUUAUCUUGAAUCAUUAUGAAGUGGUUAGAAUAUGUAGUGUAGCGGUGAAAUGCAUAGAUAUUACAUAGAAUAC